CCUCUAUUUCUUGGCACACAGGAUGUUGGCUGUAUCCUUGUGUGAUAUGUACGGAGGUAGAUUAUACCCGGUGCUAUGUCUUCGGUGCCAGCUGUGACCUGGGCUGGUUCUAUCCUCAAUCGCUGGGACAAGA
This is a small nucleolar RNA of Pseudophryne corroboree (corroboree frog), 133 nucleotides long. RefSeq annotates it as small nucleolar RNA SNORA57. Lineage: Eukaryota; Metazoa; Chordata; Amphibia; Anura; Myobatrachidae. The record is from RefSeq and is a predicted model, not a curated record. The transcript has a single exon.